This 343-nucleotide unclassified non-coding RNA is filed under the name soil metagenome. Its description in RNAcentral is "partial contains 5.8S ribosomal RNA, internal transcribed spacer 2, and large subunit ribosomal RNA". The stretch from base 1 to 120 matches the Rfam family "5.8S ribosomal RNA", at positions 35 to 154 of the family's 154-position model. The record is from RNAcentral.
GAUGAAGAACGUAGCGAAAUGCGAUAAGUAGUGUGAAUUGCAGAAUUCAGUGAAUCAUCGAAUCUUUGAACGCACAUUGCGCCCGCCAGCAUUCUGGCGGGCAUGCCUGUUCGAGCGUCAUUUCAACCCUCGACCUCCCCUUGGGGAGGUCGGCGUUGGGGACCGGCAGCACACCGCCGGCCCUGAAAUGGAGUGGCGGCCCGUCCGCGGCGACCUCUGCGUAGUAAUACAGCUCGCACCGGAACCCCGACGCGGCCACGCCGUAAAACACCCAACUUCUGAACGUUGACCUCGAAUCAGGUAGGACUACCCGCUGAACUUAAGCAUAUCAAUAAGCGGAGGA